This 439-nucleotide ribosomal RNA is filed under the name uncultured bacterium. Its description in RNAcentral is "bacterial SSU rRNA". It matches the Rfam family "Bacterial small subunit ribosomal RNA", at positions 330 to 786 of the family's 1533-position model. The record is from RNAcentral.
CCCAGACUCCUACGGGAGGCAGCAGUGGGGAAUAUUGCACAAUGGGGGAAACCCUGAUGCAGCAACGCCGCGUGAGUGAAGAAGUAUUUCGGUAUGUAAAGCUCUAUCAGCAGGGAAGAAAAUGACGGUACCUGAGUAAGAAGCUCCGGCUAACUACGCACCAGCAGCCGCGGUAAUACGUAGGGAGCAAGCGUUGUCCGGAAUUACUGGGCGUAAAGGGCGCGUAGGUGGGCGCUUAAGUCAGGUGUGAAAACUCGGGGCUCAACCUGGAGACUGCACUUGAAACUGGGUGUCAUGAGGGCAGGAGAGGAAAGGGGAAUUCCUGGUGUAGCGGUGAAAUGCGUGAAUAUUAGGAGGAACACCAGUGGCGAAGGCGACUUUCUGGACUGUACCUGACGCUGAGGCAUGAGAGCAUGGGGAGCAAACAGGAUUAGAUCCC